Molecule: transfer RNA, 60 nt
Filed under: Loxodonta africana (African savanna elephant)
Lineage: Eukaryota; Metazoa; Chordata; Mammalia; Proboscidea; Elephantidae
Rfam family: tRNA
About the family: Transfer RNA (tRNA) molecules are approximately 80 nucleotides in length. Their secondary structure includes four short double-helical elements and three loops (D, anti-codon, and T loops).
Source: Rfam by way of RNAcentral
GGUGGUUCAAUGGUAGAAUUCUCGCCUUCUAUGCAGGAGACCCAGGUUUGAGACCUGGCC